UACGAAGGGGGCUAGCGUUGCUCGGAAUCACUGGGCGUAAAGCGCACGUAGGCGGGUCUUUAAGUCAGGGGUGAAAUCCUGGAGCUCAACUCCAGAACUGCCUUUGAUACUGAGGAUCUCGAGUCCGGGAGAGGUGAGUGGAACUCCGAGUGUAGAGGUGAAAUUCGUAGAUAUUCGGAAGAACACCAGUGGCGAAGGCGGCUCACUGGCCCGGUACUGACGUUGAUGUGCGAAAGCGUGGGGAGCAAACAGG
RNAcentral lists this ribosomal RNA (253 nucleotides) under uncultured bacterium. Its description in RNAcentral is "partial 16S ribosomal RNA". It matches the Rfam family "Bacterial small subunit ribosomal RNA", at positions 524 to 776 of the family's 1533-position model. The record is from RNAcentral.